GAACGAGAAAGUGGAGCAAUCCAUGAGUACAGUGGCGACCGGGUGAGUAACACGUGACCAACCUGCCCUCGAGUGGGGAAUAACUUCCGGGAAACNCGGAGCUAAUACCGCAUAACAUCGCAAGAUCAAAGCCGCAAGGCGCUUGAGGAGGGGGUCGCGGCUGAUUAGCUAGUUGGUAGGGUAAUGGCCUACCAAGGCGAAGAUCGGUAGCCGGCCUGAGAGGGCGCACGGCCACACUGGAACUGAAACACGGUCCAGACUCCUACGGGAGGCAGCAGUGGGGAAUUUUGCGCAAUGGGGGAAACCCUGACGCAGCAACGCCGCGUGGAGGAUGAAGUCCCUUGGGACGUAAACUCCUUUCGACCGGGACGAUACUGACGGUACCGGAAGAAGAAGCACCGGCUAACUCUGUG
RNAcentral lists this ribosomal RNA (413 nucleotides) under uncultured bacterium. RNAcentral's name for it is "bacterial SSU rRNA". It matches the Rfam family "Bacterial small subunit ribosomal RNA", at positions 64 to 507 of the family's 1533-position model. The record is from RNAcentral.